UUGCUUUGGCAGCACAUAUACUAAAACUGGAAUGAUGCAGAGAUUAGCAUGGCCUCUGCACAAGGAUGACACUUUUACUUAACUUUGCAAAAAAAAAAAAAUUA
Pan troglodytes (chimpanzee) is the source of this 104-nucleotide non-coding RNA. The record is from Rfam. Lineage: Eukaryota; Metazoa; Chordata; Mammalia; Primates; Hominidae.